Molecule: ribosomal RNA, 1286 nt
Filed under: metagenome
Description: bacterial SSU rRNA
Rfam family: Bacterial small subunit ribosomal RNA
Source: RNAcentral
UAGCUAGUUGGUGAGGUAAAGGCUUACCAAGGCGACGAUCUGUAGCGGGUCUGAGAGGAUGAUCCGCCACACUGGAACUGAGACACGGUCCAGACUCCUACGGGAGGCAGCAGUGGGGAAUUUUGGACAAUGGGGGCAACCCUGAUCCAGCCAUGCCGCGUGAGUGAAGAAGGCCUUCGGGUUGUAAAGCUCUUUCGGCCGGGAAGAAAUCGCAUGGGCCAAUACCCUGUGUUAUGACGGUACCGGAAUAAGAAGCACCGGCUAACUACGUGCCAGCAGCCGCGGUAAUACGUAGGGUGCGAGCGUUAAUCGGAAUUACUGGGCGUAAAGCGUGCGCAGGCGGUUUUGUAAGACAGGCAUGAAAUCCCCGGGCUUAACCUGGGAACUGCGUUUGUGACUGCAAGGCUAGAGUACGGCAGAGGGGGGUGGAAUUCCACGUGUAGCAGUGAAAUGCGUAGAGAUGUGGAGGAACACCAAUGGCGAAGGCAGCCCCCUGGGUCGAUACUGACGCUCAUGCACGAAAGCGUGGGUAGCAAACAGGAUUAGAUACCCUGGUAGUCCACGCCCUAAACUAUGUCAAAUAGGUGUUGGGUGGGUAAAACCAUUUAGUACCGUAGCUAACGCGUGAAGUUGACCGCCUGGGGAGUACGGCCGCAAGGUUAAAACUCAAAGGAAUUGACGGGGACCCGCACAAGCGGUGGAUGAUGUGGAUUAAUUCGAUGCAACGCGAAAAACCUUACCUACCCUUGACAUGCCAGGAACUUGCCAGAGAUGGCUUGGUGCCCGAAAGGGAGCCUGGACACAGGUGCUGCAUGGCUGUCGUCAGCUCGUGUCGUGAGAUGUUGGGUUAAGUCCCGCAACGAGCGCAACCCUUGUCGUUAAUUGCCAUCAUUUGGUUGGGCACUUUAACGAGACUGCCGGUGACAAACCGGAGGAAGGUGGGGAUGACGUCAAGUCCUCAUGGCCCUUAUGGGUAGGGCUUCACACGUCAUACAAUGGUCGGUACAAAGGGUUGCCAAGCCGCGAGGCGGAGCCAAUCCCAGAAAGCCGAUCGUAGUCCGGAUUGCAGGCUGCAACUCGCCUGCAUGAAGUCGGAAUCGCUAGUAAUCGUGGAUCAGCAUGUCACGGUGAAUACGUUCCCGGGUCUUGUACACACCGCCCGUCACACCAUGGGAGCGGGUUCCGCCAGAAGUAGGUAGCCUAACCGCAAGGGGGGCGCUUACCACGGCGGGGUUCGUGGCUGGGGUGAAGUCGUAACAAGGUAGCCGUAGGGGAACCUGCGGCUG